CAACGAGCGCAACCCUCGUCNUUAGUUGCCAGCAGGUUAAGCUGGGCACUCUAGGGAGACUGCCUUCGUAAGGAGGAGGAAGGUGAGGACGNCNUCAAGUCAUCAUGGUCCCUUACGGCCAGGGCUACACACGUGCUACAAUGGGGCGUGCAGAGUGUUGCGAUACCGCGAGGUGGANCUAAUCANUUAAAGCGUCUNUCAGUUCGGAUUGGAGUCCNCAACUCGACUGCCAUGAAGCUGGAAUCACUAGUAAUCGUAGAUCAGCAAUGCUACGGUGAAUACGUUCCCGGGUCUUGUACUCACCGCCCGUCACGGCCAUGGGAGUUGAUUCNCCUCGAAAUCGGUAAUGCCACUGGCUACCGCUUACGUGCGGAAUUAGCGACUGGGGUGAAGUCGUAUCCAGGUAACC
This 409-nucleotide ribosomal RNA is filed under the name uncultured bacterium. Its description in RNAcentral is "bacterial SSU rRNA". It matches the Rfam family "Bacterial small subunit ribosomal RNA", at positions 1090 to 1501 of the family's 1533-position model. The record is from RNAcentral.